GGUGUACACUUAAAGCAUUCUGGGAAUAUGAAUCCCUUCUGCACCCGGGAUUCACCAGUCCAGCCAUGCAUGGAGCUGGGGAAAGCAGGCCCUGAACUGUCUAGAGAGACUUGGUGGAGGAGGCCACGGCCCGUCUUGUCCCUGCCGGGUCCUGGCCAGGAAUUGGAUGCCGGCUGGCCCCCCGAUGGUUCCUGGCCUAGGGGCUGUCAUGGCAGAGGGAAGCCACCAAGGUGCCAUUGAGGAUUGGUGUCUGGCUCUCUAUGGGCAAGAGCGCCAGGGGACACACAGUGGGACCGGAACCUUCCAGAAUGUCUCCUCAGUCAGGGCCCUGUGCUAAUCACGAGUCUUUCCUGUUCAGAGCAGUGAGGCCUGAGACCCUCAACGGUGCUGUGUGUACAGAAGGCCCCCAGAAUCCACAGAAAGGGCCCGCCUGAAACCUAGAGCAUUUGUGAAGGAGGAGAAUGGAAGGAACAACUGGAUGUUGUAAAUGUUUCUCAUCUGGCCUUAAAAUCCAUGAAAGCUGGAAAAUGCCAAGGCAUCUGUGCACAUACUGGUGGAUUUUAAUGAGAGUCCUGUGUUUGGAGCACCAGAAAUAAACCAGCUUCAGAAGCAAAGAUUUGAACGUCUAUGACACUCUUCCGAGCUGACACAGUGAAGAACAUGGAAGGAGAACUCACCCAGUCUGCCAGGGUCACAGAUGAUCAUACUCAAGAUCUUCCUGGGGAGUCAACGGCAA
Molecule: small RNA, 736 nt
Filed under: Pongo abelii (Sumatran orangutan)
Lineage: Eukaryota; Metazoa; Chordata; Mammalia; Primates; Hominidae
Description: processed transcript
Source: RNAcentral